AUACGGAGGGUGCAAGCGUUAAUCGGAAUUACUGGGCGUAAAGCGUACGUAGGCGGUCCGUUAAGUUAGAUGUGAAAGCCCCGGGCUUAACCUGGGAACUGCAUUUAAAACUGGCGGACUAGAGUUGGGUAGAGGGGAGUGGAAUUUCAGGUGUAGCGGUGAAAUGCGUAGAGAUCUGAAGGAACACCAGUGGCGAAGGCGACUCCCUGGACUCGAACUGACGCUGAGGUACGAAAGCGUGGGUAGCAAACGGGAUUAGAAACCCCAGUAGUCC
This 274-nucleotide ribosomal RNA is filed under the name uncultured bacterium. RNAcentral's name for it is "partial 16S ribosomal RNA". It matches the Rfam family "Bacterial small subunit ribosomal RNA", at positions 523 to 796 of the family's 1533-position model. The record is from RNAcentral.